Molecule: ribosomal RNA, 403 nt
Filed under: uncultured bacterium
Lineage: Bacteria
Description: partial 16S ribosomal RNA
Rfam family: Bacterial small subunit ribosomal RNA
Source: RNAcentral
AUUGAACGCUGGCGGCAGGCCUAACACAUGCAAGUCGAGCGAGAGGGGGACGGGUGAGUAAUGUAUGGGGACUGCCCGAUAGAGGGGGAUAACUAAUGGAAACGGUGGCUAAUACCGCAUACUAUCGGAUAACCCAUAUGGGAUUAGCUAGUGGGUGGGGUAAAGCCUUACGUAGGCGACGAUCUCUAGCUGGUCUGAGAGGAUGAACAGCCACAAUGAGACUGAGAAACGGCCCAGACUCUUACGGAGGCAGCGGUGGGGAAUAUUGCACAAUGGGCGCAAGCCUGAUGCAGCCAUGCCGCGUGUAUGAAGAAGGACUUCGGGUUGUAAAGUACUUUCAGCUGUGAGUCGUUACCCUCAGAAGAAGCACCGGCUAACUCCGUGCCAGCAGCCGCGGUAAUAC